This 438-nucleotide ribosomal RNA is filed under the name uncultured bacterium. Its description in RNAcentral is "bacterial SSU rRNA". It matches the Rfam family "Bacterial small subunit ribosomal RNA", at positions 340 to 773 of the family's 1533-position model. The record is from RNAcentral.
UACGGGAGGCAGCAGGGGGAAUAUUGCACAAUGGGCGCAAGCCUGAUGCAGCCAUGCCGCGUGUAUGAAGAAGGCCUUCGGGUUGUAAAGUACUUUCAGUCGUGAGGAAGGUGUUAAGGUUAAUAACCUUAGCAAUUGACGUUAGCGACAGAAGAAGCACCGGCUAACUCCGUGCCAGCAGCCGCGGUAAUACGGAGGGUGCGAGUGUUAAUCGGAAUUACUGGGCGUAAAGGGCACGCAGGCGGUUAAUUAAGUUGGAUGUGAAAUCCCCGGGCUUAACCUGGGAAUGGCAUUCAAGACUGGUUAGCUAGAGUCUUGUAGAGGGGGUAGAAUUCCAUGUGUAGCGGUGAAAUGCGUAGAGAUGUGGAGGAAUACCGGUGGCGAAGGCGGCCCCUGGACAAAGACUGACGCUCAUGUGCGAAAGCGUGGGGAGCAAAC